GAUGAACGCUGGCGGCGUGCCUAGUACAUGCAAGUCGAGCGAACGGACGAGAAGCUUGCUUCUCUGAUGUUAGCGGCGGACGGGUGAGUAACACGUGGAUAACCUACCUAUAAGACUGGAUAACUUCGGGAAACCGUAGCUAAUACCGGAUAAUAUUUUGAACCGCAUGGUUCAAAAGUGAAAGACGGUCUUGCUGUCACUUAUAGAUGGAUCCGCGCUGCAUUAGCUAGUUGGUAAGGUAACGGCUUACCAAGGCAACGAUGCAUAGCCGACCUGAGAGGGUGAUCGGCCACACUGGAACUGAGACACGGUCCAGACUCCUACGGGAGGCAGCAGUAGGGAAUCUUCCGCAAUGGGCGAAAGCCUGACGGAGCAACGCCGCGUGAGUGAUGAAGGUCUUCGGAUCGUAAAACUCUGUUAUUAGGGAAGAACAUAUGUGUAAGUAACUGUGCACAUCUUGACGGUACCUAAUCAGAAAGCCACGGCUAACUACGUG
RNAcentral lists this ribosomal RNA (496 nucleotides) under uncultured bacterium. RNAcentral describes it as "partial 16S ribosomal RNA". It matches the Rfam family "Bacterial small subunit ribosomal RNA", at positions 28 to 507 of the family's 1533-position model. The record is from RNAcentral.